This 620-nucleotide ribosomal RNA is filed under the name uncultured bacterium. RNAcentral describes it as "bacterial SSU rRNA". It matches the Rfam family "Bacterial small subunit ribosomal RNA", at positions 338 to 944 of the family's 1533-position model. The record is from RNAcentral.
CCUACGGGAGGCAGCAGGUAGGGGUAAUUUUGGACAAUGGGCGCAAGCCUGAUCCAGCAAUGCCGCGUGAGUGAAGAAGGCCUUCGGGUUGUAAAGCUCUUUUGUCAGGGAAGAAACGGUGAAGGCUAAUAUCUUUUGCUAAUGACGGUACCUGAAGAAUAAGCACCGGCUAACUACGUGCCAGCAGCCGCGGUAAUACGUAGGGUGCAAGCGUUAAUCGGAAUUACUGGGCGUAAAGCGUGCGCAGGCGGUUUUGUAAGUUUGUCGUGAAAUCCCCGGGCUCAACCUGGGAAUGGCGAUGAAGACUGCAAGGCUAGAAUCUGGCAGAGGGGGGUAGAAUUCCACGUGUAGCAGUGAAAUGCGUAGAGAUGUGGAGGAACACCGAUGGCGAAGGCAGCCCCCUGGGUCAAGAUUGACGCUCAUGCACGAAAGCGUGGGGAGCAAACAGGAUUAGAUACCCUGGUAGUCCACGCCCUAAACGAUGUCUACUAGUUGUCGGGUUUUAAUUAACUUGGUAACGCAGCUAACGCGUGAAGUAGACCGCCUGGGGAGUACGGUCGCAAGGAUUAAAACCGUAGAAAGAUGACGNNGAGAGNGACGACGACGACACGAGGAGGAGG